RNAcentral lists this unclassified non-coding RNA (405 nucleotides) under soil metagenome. RNAcentral describes it as "partial contains 5.8S ribosomal RNA, internal transcribed spacer 2, and large subunit ribosomal RNA". The stretch from base 2 to 122 matches the Rfam family "5.8S ribosomal RNA", at positions 35 to 154 of the family's 154-position model. The record is from RNAcentral.
GGAUGAAGAACGCAGCGAAAUGCGAUAAGUAAUGUGAAUUGCAGAAUUCAGUGAAUCAUCGAAUCUUUGAACGCACCUUGCGCCCUUUGGCUAUUCCGAAGGGCAUGCCUGUUUGAGUAUCAUGAACACCUCAACUCUCAUGGUUUGCCAUGAUGAGCUUGGACUUUGGGGGUCUUGCCGGCCUAUGGGUCGGCUCCUCUCAAAUUAAUCAGCUUGCCAGUGUUUGGUGGCAUCACAGGUGUGAUAACUAUCUACGCUUGUGGUUUUCCAUCAGGUAACCUUCAGUGAUGGAGGUUCGCUGGGGCUCAUAAAUGUCUCUCCUCAGUGAGGACAGCUUUUUUGAACGUUUGAUCUCAAAUCAGGUAGGACUACCCGCUGAACUUAAGCAUAUCAAUAAGCGGAGGA